GAGAAAGUUUGCGUGGUUUGUAUAGAAGAUCAAACCAGCCAAAACCUUCUGUUAAACCGAAGUCUAAUCUAGAGCAUAACCCUAACUGUCUUUAAUUCUGUGAAGGCUGAGAGAAGUGAGAAAGCUGUAGAAGAAAAAAUUGAAGAAAGCAGAUGUUGCUCCAUGAGGUUUAAGUAAAGAGACCACCAUAUCCAUACCAUAAAAAUGCAAGGCAAAGCAGCAAGUGUUGGGGUAGAAGCUGAAGUGAGUUAUCAAGAAGAUCUAGGUAGCCAAGGUAUCAAGUUGCCCGAUAACUGUUUCAGUUAUGAUACGAUCUAUGGACCCUAUGGCUGGCAGCAGAUGAAAGUGUGAAGUCCAGAGUUUCAAAUCAUGUCAGAUGAAGAAUCAACAGUGCAAGCUUUUGUAGAAUGGGUGAUAACUUUCAGG
This 426-nucleotide long non-coding RNA is filed under the name Homo sapiens (human). RNAcentral describes it as "HSALNT0213904". The record is from RNAcentral. Lineage: Eukaryota; Metazoa; Chordata; Mammalia; Primates; Hominidae.